Molecule: ribosomal RNA, 1290 nt
Filed under: metagenome
Description: bacterial SSU rRNA
Rfam family: Bacterial small subunit ribosomal RNA
Source: RNAcentral
AGAGUUUGAUUCUGGCUCAGAACGAACGCUGGCGGCGUGGAUAAGACAUGCAAGUCGUACGAGGAACCAUUGAAGCUUGCUUUAUAGGUUUCCUAGUGGCGCACGGGUGAGUAACACGUGAGUUACAUGCCCUGAAGUGGGGGAUAGCCCGGGGAAACCCGGAUUAAUACCCCAUGGUCCCGCAAGGGUAAAGAUGGCUUCGGCUGUCGCUUCAGGAUUGGCUCGCGGCCUAUCAGCUUGUUGGAGGGGUAACGGCCCACCAAGGCAACGACGGGUAGCUGGUCUGAGAGGACGAUCAGUCACACUGGAACUGAGACACGGUCCAGACACCUACGGGUGGCAGCAGUCGAGAAUCAUUCACGAUGGGGGAAACCCUGAUGGUGCAACGCCGCGUGGAGGAUGACGGUCUCCGGAUUGUAAACUCCUGUCAUCUGGGAGUAAGACCUGGGGGUUAAUAGCCCACAGGGUUGAUAGUACCAGAAGAGGAAGGGACGGCUAACUUCGUGCCAGCAGCCGCGGUAAUACGAAGGUCCCAAGCGUUGUUCGGAAUCACUGGGCGUAAAGGGUGCGUAGGUGGCAUGGUAAGUCAGAUGUGAAAUCCCGGGGCUCAACCCCGGAACUGCAUCCGAUACUGCCGUGCUUGAGGACUGGAGAGGAGACUGGAAUUCUCGGUGUAGCAGUGAAAUGCGUAGAGAUCGAGAGGAACACUCGUGGCGAAAGCGAGUCUCUGGACAGUUCCUGACGCUGAGGCACGAAGGCCAGGGUAGCGAAAGGGAUUAGAUACCCCUGUAGUCCUGGCAGUAAACGGUGCGCGCUUGGUGUGGGAGGAUUCGACCCCUUCCGUGCCGGAGCUAACGCGUUAAGCGCGCCGCCUGGGGAGUACGGUCGCAAGACUAAAACUCAAAGAAAUUGACGGGGACCCGCACAAGCGGUGGAGUAUGUGGCUUAAUUCGAUGCAACGCGAAGAACCUUACCUGGGCUUGACAUGCAUCUCUAAGCACGUGAAAGCGUGUGACCCUUCGGGGAAUUUGCACAGGUGCUGCAUGGCCGUCGUCAGCUCGUGUCGUGAGAUGUUGGGUUAAGUCCCGCAACGAGCGCAACCCCUGUGAUUAGUUGCCAGCACGUAAUGGUGGGAACUCUAAUCAGACUGCCCAGAUCAACUGGGAGGAAGGUGGGGACGACGUCAGGUCAGUAUGGCCCUUACGCUCAGGGCUGCACACGUACUACAAUGCCCAGUACAAUGAGAACCGAUACCGCGAGGUGGAGGAAAUCUGCAAAACUGGGCCCAGU